AGUGAACGCUGGCGGCAGGCCUAACACAUGCAAGUCGAGCGGAUGAAGGGAGCUUGCUCCUGGAUUCAGCUGCGGACGGGCGGGUAAUGCCUAGGAAUAUCCCUAGUUGUUUUUUAUAACGGCCUGAAACGGGCGCUAAUACCGCAUACGUCCUUACGACGAAAGUGUGGGAUCUUCGGACCUCACGCCCUCGGGUGAGUCUAUGUCGCAUUAGCUAGUUGGUGGGGUAAAGGCCUACCAAGGCGACGAUCCGUAACUGGUCUGAGAGGAUGAUCAGCCACACUGGAACUGAGACACGGUCCAGACUCCUACGGGAGGCAGCAGUGGGGAAUAUUGGACAAUGGGCGAAAGCCUGAUCCAGCCAUGCCGCGUGUGUGAAGAAGGUCUUCGGAUUGUAAAGCACUUUAAGUUGGGAAGAAGGGCAGUAAGUUAAUACCUCGCUGUUUUGACGGUACCAAAAGAAUAAGCACCGGCUAACUUCGUG
Molecule: ribosomal RNA, 484 nt
Filed under: uncultured bacterium
Lineage: Bacteria
Description: partial 16S ribosomal RNA
Rfam family: Bacterial small subunit ribosomal RNA
Source: RNAcentral